ACUGAUUGGUCUAACCCUAGAAUAAUUGGUUGCCAGUCAUAGAAUCAUCUUGUACUGUUGUACAUAACUAAUUUUGACUUGAACUUUGGUGUGGUCGUGUAUCUUUGAAGUUUUCUGGAGACAGACUACUCUUGCAUCAUUAUGUGCAACCCACAGGUAUCUCACUCGGCGAGACAUGCACACCUAUGCCACAUCUUUACAUGUUUCACAAAAACAUAAACAUGAUUGGAUGGGCGUCCUUGCCGGCGACCUCGCUAUCUCCAACCCAUCCACAGGUUGCUUGGUGUCCUCUCAUCGUGUCUAUUGGUGCAGUAUCACAUAUCCUCUCUCGAAGAGAUGAGAUAAGGAUUACAGGGCUACCAACAACCCACCUCACCUAUAAUGGAAGACAUCCUGAUUCAUUGUUGCAAGCUAGAGAACAAUAACUAUCAUGUUGGUGAUUUCCUUGAUAUAUGGUUCUACACGUGUGUCAUAUGGACCAAUGAAAGCAAAGAUAUUCCGGAGAUAAUAACUAUAUGGGCUACUCCAAAUGGAGUGGCAGUGGAACCAACACCUUUUAUAGGCCUUCAAGUACCUGUGUGGAAGUCUACCAUGCAAGCAUUAUCCGACGACUAACACUUUGCUUAUGUGUACAUAUCCUCUGAAGACCACAACCGGACUAAGAA
Long non-coding RNA from Triticum dicoccoides, 665 nucleotides. RefSeq lists it as uncharacterized. Lineage: Eukaryota; Viridiplantae; Streptophyta; Magnoliopsida; Poales; Poaceae. The record is from RefSeq and is a predicted model, not a curated record. The transcript is spliced from 3 exons.